GAGCACCAUACCCUCGGGAAACUGAGGCUAAUAGUGCAUCCCGCACUCACCCUGGAAUGGCGAGUGCGUCAAACGCUCCGGCGCCGAAGGACGUGGCUGCGGCCGAUUAGGUAGACGGUGGGGUAACGGCCCACCGUGCCGAUAAUCGGCACGGGUGGUGAGAGCCAGAACCCGGAGACGGAAUCUGAGACAAGAUUCCGGGCCCUACGGGGCGCAGCAGGCGCGAAACCUUUACACUGCACGACAGUGCGAUAAGGGGAUCCCAAGUGCGUAGGCAUAGAGCCUACGCUUUUGUACACCGUAGGGAGGUGUACGAAUAAGGGCUGGGCAAGACCGGUGCCAGCCGCCGCGGUAAUACCGGCAGCCCGAGUGAUGGCCGAUCUUAUUGGGCCUAAAGCGUCCGUAGCUGGCCGCACAAGUCCAUCGGAAAAUCCACCCGCUUAACGGGUGGGCGUCCGGUGGAAACUGUGUGGCUUGGGACCGGAAGGCGCGACGGGUACGUCCGGGGUAGGAGUGAAAUCCCGUAAUCCUGGACGGACCGCCGAUGGCGAAAGCACGUCGCGAGAACGGAUCCGACAGUGAGGGACGAAAGCUAGGGUCUCGAACCGGAUUAGAUACCCGGGUAGUCCUAGCCGUAAACGAUGCCUGUUAGGUGUGGCUCCCACUACGAGUGGGUGCUGUGCCGUAGGGAAGCCGCUAAACAGGCCGCCUGGGAAGUACGUCCGCAAGGAUGAAACUUAAAGGAAUUGG
RNAcentral lists this ribosomal RNA (750 nucleotides) under uncultured Halorubrum sp. RNAcentral describes it as "bacterial SSU rRNA". It matches the Rfam family "Archaeal small subunit ribosomal RNA", at positions 119 to 868 of the family's 1478-position model. The record is from RNAcentral. Lineage: Archaea; Methanobacteriati; Methanobacteriota; Halobacteria; Halobacteriales; Haloferacaceae.